RNAcentral lists this long non-coding RNA (1855 nucleotides) under Sus scrofa (pig). RNAcentral describes it as "lncRNA (ENSSSCG00035056362.1)". The record is from RNAcentral. Lineage: Eukaryota; Metazoa; Chordata; Mammalia; Artiodactyla; Suidae.
GGCAGCCAGUUUGCUGAGAGGUGGGGCGGUAUUAGCUGUCUGGCCUGAGAUGUUGGCACACUGUAGCUUACAGGCUACUGGUGGGGCCAGGUCUUGGGGCUAAUGAUCCAAGCAAGAGGCCCACGCCAAUGAACACUUGCUGAUACACCAGCUUUUAUGACCCCCGAGGGAGCCACAGCGCCCCCGCCCUCCCCAAACCAACAGGAAUUAGCUGUGAUUCUGGCGGUUUCUGAGAGGAGGCGAGCUCAAGGGCCUUCCAGUCGGCCGAGCUGAAAGAUUCCUCGGGACUCUCACCUCAAAGGAUGGGCCGCUUCUUUAUCUACACAGCUCUGGGCCAGAGACCUGUACCUGGCAGUAACAAUGAAUACUUGUGAAACUAGUCAAUAUCUAUUAGUUGACUGAUUAACCUGUUCUUUUCCAUAAUUUGUCCCUUUUCUAUAACAGCACCUAUUUUUCUACUUUAAUUGUUAAAGAUAAAAUACUUCAAUGGGCAAAUAUCACUUAAAGCCAAAGAAAAUAUAACUCUGUGGAUAUUCCCUAAGGAAAAACCAAGGGUAUAUAACAAAAUCACUCAUUAGAAAUCCUUCCUAAUAAAGGACAAUGCUCUAGGACACUUUAUAGCAUACCGCAUCCAUUUUCAGAAAUUUAGGGACACGUCUCAAAUUUCUGAUUCCCUAAGUUCCUUAAGAACCCUUCUUCCAACACCAAUCCUCUAUGCUACCACCCCAAUGUCCCCCCACCCCCACCACCACAAAAACCCUUUGAGUAAUUUUUUUUUCUUUUUUGGCUGUCCCUUGGCAUGUGCAGUUCCCGGGCCAGGAAACAGAUCCAAGCCACAGUUGCAACCUAAGCCAAAGCUGCAGCAAGGCCAGAUUGUUAACCCACCAUGCCCAGCUAGGGAACGGAGUUAUUUUAAUAGAGUUACACUUAAGGCAUGAGAAUUAUUUCAGAGCUCACUGCAGUCAAUAUGCUAAUAUUAAAUAAUGUUGAGGCGACAACAAAAAAGUAAAUAAUGUUCAAGAAAAGUUUAAUUUUACUCAUAAGUGAAUUUCAAAUUAAAAUACACUAGAAAAGCAGCCUAACUAUAUUUACUCUUCUGUGGAUCUGUAGUUGAAAUGCAGUUUCACAAGAACCUAACUAUACAUAGCAUCUGCAACUAUAUUUAUAUUGUAUCCAUAUAUAAAAACUGAACAGAAAAAUAUCCUUUCUGAAGAGAAGAGCUAGUUGAGAUGUUCAAGAAUCAAAAGUGGAACCACCCUUUAGAGGGAAUAAUAUUGAAACUGACAGGACCCUGUGGGGCUCCUGGGCACAAGCCCUCUGUGUUCCCUAUUUCUUACUCUUAGGGAAUAAGCUUCAGCCUCCACCACCCUCCCUGCGCUCCAAAGAGUAGGUUCAAACAGUUGCUCAUCAGAGAAGGGAGGGGAUGCAGAGACAACAGUGCAGCCUUGGGGCGGGAUCCUGGUUCCUCCUCAAGGAAUAUACAUAAAAGUAUCUUUGAGUUCUUCUGCAGAACUAAAACCUGCCACAAAUGAAAACAAGAGAGGAGGACCACGGAACCAGGCCUGGGGCCACUAAACACCAACUUUGAAGAAGAAUGAAAGCUUGUACCUAUUCUGAUCCUUAUCUGUGGCCCUGUUUUCUUCUCCCAAACUAUAAAGCAACUUCCUAAUCUCUCCCAAGGGAGGGCACAGUCUUUAGGGCAUUAGCCUGCUAUGGCCUCCUUUGCCUAGCAAGCAGUAAUGCUAUUUUUUUUCCUCCCGCACCCAAAACUGUCUCUGAGAUUCUAUUCGGCACUGAUGGACAAACACCUAGUUUCAACAAUUCCAGGCUCCAAUAAAAUAUAAGCAUUCAAAAC